AUUAAGAUGGCUGAUUUUGAUAGGUGGUAAACUGUAAAUUUACUUAAGGGUUUAUAUAAUCCUCUUAAUA
This 70-nucleotide transfer RNA is filed under the name Scaphoideus nigrivalveus. RNAcentral's name for it is "tRNA-Tyr". Lineage: Eukaryota; Metazoa; Arthropoda; Insecta; Hemiptera; Cicadellidae. The record is from RNAcentral.